GAACAAUUGAUAAGUGAAAUGAAUAUACUUGUUUUCCUAUUUUGUUUUUAUUUACAACGAAAUGAAUAUAACUUAAGGAAUUUUGGGUUUUAUAGAAAAUUUCAUUAAAAGAAUUUAAUUCUUACAAAAUCAUGUCACUUUUGUCAUGAAUUCGUUUCUUUUAAAAUGACUAGCAAUUUAAAAUUUUUCAAACAUCAAAUGAAAUUCAAUUGAAUUGGAUUCUUUCAUUUUUAAACUUUCGGAACACACCCAAAAAUGUUUUUCUUUCCUCUAAUUUCAGUUGGACAUUUUGUCGUAGUUGAAGAACCUUGGUGUACAAUGCAUUGCUGUUUUCAGGUGUUUCGUUAGACCUGCAGAUUUAACUUGAUCACUGCAUUAUGAAACAUGGUCCUAGUUUUCAUAAUUGUGGAGAUAAUUAUUCUAGCAUAAUCAGUAGCUCCAGAACAUGUAAUAAAUAAAACCAAUGUCUGGAUGAAGCUGCAAAUGCUAUGUAAAGCUUAUGUUUAUGAGUCUGUGAAAUGCAUCUGGCGGUUUCUACAACUUCUCAUUGGUUUCAUAUGCCGUCUUAUAGUUUUUGCAGCUCUGGUCAUGUACAACUAACUUUGGAUGAAUUCUUGGAUUCUUGAUAUUUGUCAUGUACAGUUCCUUUUCUUUUAUUUCUUCUAAUCAUGGAAUUUGUAUUGCAGGAACGCGAGAUACCUGAAGACGAU
This 710-nucleotide unclassified non-coding RNA is filed under the name Hevea brasiliensis (rubber tree). Lineage: Eukaryota; Viridiplantae; Streptophyta; Magnoliopsida; Malpighiales; Euphorbiaceae. The record is from RNAcentral.